AAUAUAAAAAAGCGGAGGAAAAGAAACUAACAAGGAUUCCCCUAGUAACGGCGAGUGAAGCGGGAAGAGCUCAAAUUUGAAAUCUGGUGGACUCAGUCCAUCCGAGUUGUAAUCUAUAGAAACGUUUUCCGCGCCGGCCCAUGUACAAGUCCCUUGGAACAGGGCGUCAUAGAGGGUGAGAAUCCCGUCCUUGACAUGGACCACCGGUGCUAUGUGAUACGUUCUCAACGAGUCGAGUUGUUUGGGAAUGCAGCUCAAAAUGGGUGGUAAAUUCCAUCUAAAGCUAAAUAUUGGCGAGAGACCGAUAGCGAACAAGUACCGUGAGGGAAAGAUGAAAAGCACUUUGGAAAGAGAGUUAAACAGUAUGUGAAAUUGUUGAAAGGGAAACGAUUGAAGUCAGUCAUGUCCUUGGGAUUCAGCCUGUUCUGCAGGUGUACUUCCCUUGGAUGGGGUCAACAUCAGUUUUGACCGCUGGAUAAAGGCUGGAGGAAGGUAGCACUCUCGGGUGAACUUAUAGCCUCCUGUCGCAUACAGUGGUUGGGACUGAGGAACGCAGCUUGCCUUUAUGGCCGGGAUUCGUCCACGUACAAGCUUAGGAUGUUGACAUAGAUGGCUUUAAACGACCCGUCUUGAAACCACGGACAC
Molecule: ribosomal RNA, 645 nt
Filed under: Piskurozyma fildesensis
Lineage: Eukaryota; Fungi; Basidiomycota; Tremellomycetes; Filobasidiales; Piskurozymaceae
Description: partial large subunit ribosomal RNA
Rfam family: Eukaryotic large subunit ribosomal RNA
Source: RNAcentral